This 3674-nucleotide long non-coding RNA is filed under the name Oryzias sinensis (Chinese medaka). RNAcentral's name for it is "lncRNA (ENSOSIG00000013596.1)". The record is from RNAcentral. Lineage: Eukaryota; Metazoa; Chordata; Actinopteri; Beloniformes; Adrianichthyidae.
AUGUUUCCUGUCCUGUUCCUGUGGAGGGUCGCCAGGGCCGCUCCUCUUCACAUGACUGUUCCUGAGAAGGGUCAGGGCUGCUCCCCUUCAUGUGUCCUGUCCCUUGGGAGAGUCGUCGGGACCCCUCCUCUGUCUGUUUCUGAGGAGGGGUUCGUCAUGUCAUCCCUCACUUCUGCUGGGCUGCAGGAACCCAAACAAAUAUCUGGACUUUUGUUUUAUUCCUCCAGGUCCCUUCCUGUCAGGUGUUUGGGAAUCUGGGAUCUGCCCUUUAGGGGAAGGGUACUGUGGUUUAGUUUGGUUUUUAUGUUUUGGUCGUGUUCUGUGCUGCACUUAGCCAGUCACACCAGUUUCAGGUUGAUGAUGGUCCACAGCUGCCUUCAUUUCAGUUAAGUGCCCUCAGCCUAUAGAAGUGUCUGGUUUUCAGUUUGUCGUUGUCAGGUGUCAUGUGCGCUGCUCUUUUAUUACAUGUUUAAGUCCUACACCGCCUAUCCCUGACAUAGCUGAAGGUCCGCACAGAAACUGGGGAUCAAAAACACAUUUUCACAUAGAUUUCCAACAUAAGAAAGCUCAUAAGUGAAUUAGUUUUCAUGUGAAUGAAUGUGGUAAAUUAUAUACAGUAUGAGGGAUUGAAAUUAAAUUGUGAGGCGUCAUUUUUAUUUUAUCGCUUUUUUAAUCUACAAAUAAUGCUGUAAUGUAUUUUAUGAAAACCUUUUUGAAGGUCUAAUUGAAAUGGGUCAACCAAAGCUUGGUCUGCAGGUUCAGGUUGUCUGCAGACCAGUGGAGGGAGCUGCAGUGACAUCUACUGAUUCUGUGUGGAAUUUCAAAUGGUGCCAGCCAGAAGCUUUUUCUCAGACUGUCAGGAGGACUCUUUAAAAAGUACUCUGUGAUGCAAACCAGAAGGGCCUUUUAACCCUUGUGCUAUCUUAGAUGACCCCACCCUUACAUUGGCGUGUCCUACAUACCAUGACAAAGGUGGAUAAAGGUGGAAAGAUUUCAUGUUAUAUAUGGACACCACUGAAGAUCACAAAUCAUUGAAGAAAAAAGGUUCAGAGGACUGUCUAGUGGGUCUAGAUGACCCAACUUCCAAUGUUAAAGUGCCUAGGAUAGCACAAGGGUUAAAAAAAAGUUGUUUUGGCAGUAAACAUCAGAUAAGCCAAGAAAAUAUCUGACCACUCAGCACAUUAUUUCUAAUUUUGUUUCUGUACAUUACCACAGUGAAUUCUAAAGAAAGAAACUCAGAUGCCAUUGAAGUGCAGACUUUCAGCUUUUAUUCCAUGGUUUGUACAAAAAGAUUGCAUAAAAAUGUGAAAAACUAAAGCAUUUUUUAAACACAAUCCCCUCAUUUCAUGGGCUUUCAUUGACUUCCAUGCAAUUGCAUGGAAGUCAAUUGUCCAACAAAGGGGUUAUUUAGUGAUUGCUGGGCCAUUCCAUGCCGCUCCCUGCUUUAUUUUUAUUUAUUUAAAGACACUCGGGUUACAAUGCAAAGGGCCGAUCUUCAAAUCAAACUUUAUUUCUGUGAAAUAUUAUCUCAAUUUCAGCACAGAAACAUAAGUUUUUCCCUGUUGUCAAAUGUUCAUCUUUUUGUAUUCCCUUGGUUCACAAAUUCAUCAAGUUCUUGUUUGCACAGGCUUUCCAGUCUCCUUUUUUAAAAGACCCCCCAAAGCAAACAUCUGAUGUAAAGAGUUUCAUUGCAGCUUUGUUUGGUGAUAGAUGUGUUGCCCCCUGUGGAGCAACAGCCAGCUGACAUGACAAUGCAAUCUUUUUGUUCAACCCAUGGAAGAAAAGUUGAAAGUCUGCACUUCAAUGGCAUCCAAGUUGUUUUAUUUAAAAUUCACUGUGGUAAUGUACAGAAACUAAAUUAGAAGGAAUGUGUCUCUGUCCAAAUAUUUAUGGUCCUGACUGUAGUUAUGAUCUGUAAAAAAUGAUUUUUAACACUAAGUAAUUCCUCGUUUCUUAGCAGGGCAGCUUUUUUUACUCUGUAUGAUCACCUAAACAAUACGUUUUCCACAGACGACACUGAAACACGGAAAUUAGUUAUAAAGCUACAAUCUGGUGCAAGCAUCUUUGCUUUUUAAGCUUAAUGUAUUUGUAUGCUGUCCCGAUAAAUUAAUAACUUAAACUAAGCAAAUUCAGAAGCAAAAGCAUACAAGCAAAUGUGUGCAGGCUUUGAAAACGCAGAAAAAAGUUUUCUUUUCUGGAUUCAUAAUCAUAAUCUUGCAAUUUUUACUAACAUUUUAUGCAACUAAGCAAGAAAAAUCCCAUUUAACUAAACUGAUACAAGUUAUGGAUUUGUUCUUGUUGUUCUUUUGACAUUGUUGGCACCAACGUUAAUUUAUUUGUAUUUUUUUUCCUAUGGUUUGUUAAUAAUAAACAGAAGUAGCCACAAUAUAUCAUAAUUUUGACAAGGUUUUUAAUCUGUUUAUCCAUCUAUGUAUCUAUCAGUCUAUUCAUCCAUCCAUCUAUUUAUCUAUCCAUCUGUCAUCAAGUAAUCGAUUUUACCCGUGCAUCUUUUACACUAUCUCCUAUUCAAACUUUCACGGACUUUGAUAUAUAUCUGGGUUUUUUCUGCCAUAAAUCAAAGCAUCGAUCAAAGCUUUUUUUCUUAAAAAAGAGCCGUCACCUCUCUGUGUAUCAAACUGACUGACGUCUGAGCACCUUUCAACAGCUGGAACUUUUCUCCUCCCAGACGAGAGCUGAAGGUCUGGCAGAAUAAUCACACACUCCCAAGAUUCAACUACAGGGUCUGACCACAGACUUCCCUGUCAUCCAAACUCUAUUGCAAUUGUCUGAUCGUAGACAUUCCGACUCUUUUCUUGCUAUUCCACCGCACAGACACCACAAACUCCAUGACAGAAACUGUCAAUUCAAGCAAAACCAACCAAAGCAUUUUAACAUAAAACAUGAAAACUAACAAGCAUGAAAUGGUGUGGCUGCCCCCAAAGCACAUUGGUGAGGACAAGCAAACAAGCCCAGAUGUUUGAGCUGGCUUUGAAAAUGUGCAAACUCAUUAAGAACGUUUUAAUGCCUGAGCCUGCAGUGUACAAGCAUGAGAGAGUGAAUCUUUACAAGCUAGCUGUGUGCAUCAAAGAGGGCUGCAGCUGCUAAAGACAGGCCUCGACGCGCCUCAGAUCCACAAUUAGCAAAUACUACCAAAUAUGCAUAAAAGCAAAGCUAGGGGGUGGAACGCCAAAUGCAUCUCAGGUUUGUUUUUGAACUUGAGAAAAAGUCACAGUUAAUACCUGGUGAUUCUUUAACAAAAAAAAAAAAAUCUGCUGCUGUCCCCACAAAAGAGUUGAAUUCAGUGAGGUUUACGUGAAGAAACAAGCUCCCUAAGUAUGAUCCCACCCUCCCCUUACAAACCCACCUCCAGAAGUUACCACCUAUCCGUCUCACUCUAAGAGCAGUGUCAUUUUAGAGCGUCAACCCACCUCUGGAAUUUCAGAGGGGAAGAAGGAGAAGCAAAUUAUGGGACACGGACUUCAGCUGCAGCACUGAAAAAGAGACUGAAAAAGAAAAGUUUUAUUUUGUAGUCUGGAUUUACAGAAAGCCUAAAGGUUUUUUUUAUUUUUUAUUUUUUUCAAUAACCCAACAGAGAUCUGCUCCCAUCAAGAAAGUUUUAUGACAGUAAAUCAUUUGGAUGAACAGAUAGAACAUCCAGACCAAAGCCUGUCUUU